GCAUCUUCCGGAGUGGCCUCAACAUCUAACAAAUCUGCAAGGGCUUUAUCUGGUUAAUUUGCCCAAUUUAACAUCUCUUCCGGACGAGAUGCGUUGCCUAACCAGUUUGGAGUAUUUAAACAUAGGAGAAAUUCCUCAGUUGGUGGAAAGACGUCGGAAGGACAUUGGCGCUGAUUGGCAUAAGAUUGCUCACAUCCCCAACAUUGGGUUGAUUCAGGUUGGUCCGUCCUUGUUAUUUAUUUAUUUUGAUGACCUUAUCUUUUUUUGAAGAAAAAUAAGAGUGGUAUAUUGAAUCUCCAAGUCAGGGGUCUGAUGCCAUUUUUCAUUGAAGUUGGAUACAGUUAAUUUCCUUGUUAAAAUCCCUUUGUUUUCAUCCUACUUUUUACUUAUCAUCUUUCAUAAUAUUUUUGCUGAUUUGUGCAGUAAGGCAUUGCAGAAAGGCAUUAGUGAACUUCAAUCAAUUUUAUAUGCAUAAAAAGAGGUGCUAAUUUAUCUAUUUGCUUUUUACUUUUAAAUCAUAAGAAUAACUUGGGAAUUGCUUCUAAUAAUUUAAUUCUAAAAAAUCAUUGAUGUGGAGAGAGAGGCCUAUGAAGCCUUCAAAAUGGUUGUACUAUAUGCUCUGCUUUCUUCAUUGAAGCAGUUACCUAUCAUAUCUUUAUAUAUAUUUAUGUUUUCUCUUAACAUAUGCCAACUGAUUAGUAUCUUAUAUGGUACCUGUGAUAUUGACAGGCUUUUGGAGGUAUUCAAAUUCAUAAUAUUUAUUGAUGCAGGGCAGUCUUUUAGCUGUUUGGAAUUCCAGCCAAAUUUGUUGUUGAUGGUCCAAACAGGAAAAAAGGGAAGAUGCUUCAGAAUAUUUGGUGGUGAGGUUGAAGUUGUGAUUGCAUCAAGUGUUAAGAGGGGUUAGGCUUAAAUCAUUUCUUUGUACUAUGAAGUUCAUAUUGUAUUCAUCUUUGGGUAAGGCCCCGCAGAUGUAGGACGAGUUUCGAACUGUGUAAACAUCUUAAUUGUACUCUUUAUUUUCCUUGUUGCAUAAUACGUGUCAACUCAGAAAAAACACAUUUAUGUUUUUUUAGUGUUCGAAACAGCAUUCAAAUGCAGGAUGCACAAUUGAUUAUGAGACAACAAUUUUUUUAGACAGUAUUCCAUGACUAUGUUCAAUUAUGAUGCUUGGAUUAGGACUCUUCCAAAAGAUGUCGAUUUCCUGGCUGUAUAUACGUAUGACUUGUGCGUUGAUGCUUAUGUUGGCACACAUCAAACUACAAGUUGAAUAACACAUCUUGUAUUAUGUUGGCUAGACUCAACUUCAUUUUUGUCUGCUGCGCUCUUCCUCUUUAAUUGCUGAGAAAAAUCAGCAAUAUUUCAGAGUAGUUCCAAGGGCUGGCAAAAUUACAAGGUCCCUUAGUAUUAGUAUUUGUGCAUGAUUAUAUCAAGAUUAACAACCAACUGAAAUGAAGGAAAGAGCAUAAGUUUAACAAAUGCAUAUGUAGGAGAGCUUGUAUAAGAAAACUUACUGUUAGUAAUAAGGACCAUCAGAAAAUGCUUCACUACUUGAUUCAAAAGUUAAUUCAGAAAGGCCGAAACUCAAAGAGAUAAAUGGCAUGACAAAAUCAAGUAAAGUAACUAGUAAUUCACUUGUUAUCGUGUUGAAGACAAUAAGAAAAAGAAUAUAAUAUACGAACAUAAUUUUGCCUGACAAACUAGCAGUCAUAUUCUACAUAAGGGGGAAACUAUAGUGAUAGACAUUAUGGAUGUCAACUGAAUCCUUUUUCAAACAUCCAUCAAAGGCAAAACAUCAAAACAACUAACACCCAUCAACCUUUCUUCAUAUAGAGCACGACAUUAAAUGUUCGCCUUUAAACUCUCUUACUAUAGCAUUUGUAGUACAUAAAACUAACAUACUAUCAAUUGCAAUUAUAUUUGAUCACUACAUCUUUGCCUCAUCUGCAUUCUGAGAAUAUUUUAUAAUACUAAAACUUAGCCUUCUCAAGUUAAGGCAUCAAAAUGUUGAAGUCAUCAAGUUGUGGACAUUGGAUGAGGCCAGCAUUCCUUCAAUUUCAACUUAGUUCAGCAAACAAGCACUUUAAUCUACCAAAACUCCACUACAUCAUCAAAUACGGAAAUAGCUCACAUAUUAAAAUACAGACAUCACAAUUUCACCGCACAAACAAAUAAUGCUACUCAUAAUUUAUCCCCUAAGAAACUUAGCCACCAUGAAACAUUCCAUUUAUGAACAGAUCAAAAUAUCACACACAAAAAAAUUAAGCAAAUAAUAAAAUUGAAGGGGCUACAUUAACUUUGAACAAAUGUAUCAAUCAAGCAAGUAAUUAUAUUUUAAUUGUGUCAAAUAAUAAAAUUUAUUUUUCAAUUUAUAUCUAAAUAAGAUUUGUGUUUAGAUAGGUCUAUGACUUUCAUUGGAUGGACAAUUCAAUCAACUCUAGUGAAAUUAAAAAUAGUAGUAGCGGUGAGAUUAAUUGUUGUAAUAGUGAGCUUGAACACCAUAGUGAUGUGAUUGAAAUUAGUGUUGGAUACCUGUUUGGAUUCAAUAACAGUUGAAGAUUGAGUUGUACAAAAUUGAAGACACUGCUAGAUUGAGUAAUGAAUCCCACAUCUUCAUCUUAUGAUUGGUUGAAUGCUUAGCUGAGCUCCAUUCGAUUAUCAAAUAUUGAGGAUACGAGAAUGCGGGAGCCCUGCAGCAAUUACGACCCUUUUUAGGUUGUUACAAAACAGCUAUACCUAUAUCCAAUGUCUUCUUUUAUCUUCCACUAAUUUUAAUAUUUUUAAAAUUUUAUUUUCUUUGUACAUUAAUUUCUGUAUUGAAGUAGAAAAUUUUGGAUAAAAUUAAUAUUUUAUAAGAAUAAAUUAGCUCAAUAGCUUAAAUUUGCAUGGAGAUAAGAUGUUUACACACAUUUAAUUUUGGUUUUUUUUAUACAAUAUAAUUUAGAACUCACACACUAGCGUACACAUCCACCUUAACUAUAACAUAGGCAAAGCUUACAAAUCUAUCUCAUGACUUUGGGGAUGGGAUGAAUAGCUUUGACUAAUGAAUCAUAGGGCAAAGUCGACUAGCGCGAGGUUUGUAGGAAAAUGCACUAACAACACAUAGUCGAGGUCUGAUUUUUUAUUUACUAAGCAACUCAGUUGCGAACAAUUAUGAUCAAAGAUAAAUUGUGAGUUUCAUUGAAGCAUACAAUAUUAUUUUAAACAAGUUCUAACUUCUAACAAAGUAAAAUAACAUAUUCAAUGUAUGAAAAUAAUUAGAAAUAAGAUUUUAUUAACAUUUUAGAUGCUUCAAAAUUUAGAUUUAUUAAAUAAAUAAUAUUAAACAAAUUCACAUAUUGAUGUUGUCCUGGUCAAGGUUUUUAAAACCGAUUGGUAAUCCAACCAAUCAUAUCAAAUGAUUUUGGGUUGAGUUUGUUUGUCCAAUUCAAUUGAAUUAAUUUAAUUUAAUUCAGGAUUUUUAGAUAUAAAAUUUAUAUUAUAAUAAUUGAAAUUUGGAAUUCUUUUAUAGAUUUUAUAUAUUAAUUUAUUUAAAAUGUUUUCAAAUUUAACUAAUCAUAAUUAGAGACGUGUCAUGUAUUAGUAGAAAUUGUUAACUCUGAUCUUAAUUGUUCUUAUUUAUUCUCCUUUGAAAAGAGUACAUGGUCUCCUUUAAUCUGUUUUCCUUAGGGAGGGACUAAUUUGUUGACUUGCAAAAAGUACAGGGACUUUAAGGGGCAUUUACACCAAAAAAGAGUUUGCAUUGGUUGUCAAAGUUUACAGGAUAAAUUACCAAAUAAAAGACAUUUAAAGGUGUCUAAAUUACUUGUCUAAUUUCUUUCCCAAGAAGACAAUAAUAUGUUAGCUCUGACAUAUACUAUUUAAUAAGCUAAUGAUACCCAUGAAAUUUGUUUACAUCUAUGGGUUUUAUUCAUUUUUAAUUCUGAAAUUUCCUUCAGUUUUGACUGCUGUGUAAUUGGGUUUGCUUUUUUCUUUUUAAUUAAAAAUAUAUAAAUUUUUCCACAAAAGAAACAUUUGAUACUUUUCUGGAUUGACAUUUAUAAUUUGCAGGAUUAUUGUUGCUACAGAGAGAAAAUUGAUGGGCUAUAAUCCUCCUUGGAGACCUACAUUUCCAUAGCUAGCUAAGAAACUGAUAAUACUCUAAAAUAACAUAUUUUUAUGUAUUAAUUACAUAUUUAUUUUGAGUAUGAUCCUAUUAAUUUGAGUUAUUUAUGGUUUUUUAUCUCAUAGGGAUUAAAUUGAAGGCAAAAGAAAAUUUGGGGACAAAAAGCGUGAAUUUAAAGACAAAAUGGGUCAGCAUGCGAAAUAGGAAAGAAGUGAUGUCGAAAAUACAAAGUGUGAAAGACUUAGGGCAAAAAUUCAAAGAAGAGAUUUAUGAACAAAAGACUCCAUUUAAAUUUAAAUUUUAUUUUUAGGAUUACUGAUAGGAUUAUUAUGAUAUAUUAUUUAUAUUUAAUUUCAGAUUAUAUAUUUAUUUAUCUUUUAAAGUUUAAAUAGGAACAAACUAAGUUUUUUAUGUACUCUAAAUAGGGGGAUAGAGUUCUAAAUAGGGGAUAGAGUGACGUAAAUAUUGACUCAUCUUUUCUAUAAAAAUUUUGGUUUCCCUAAAGCUCUAGCUUUUUGUUCCUUUAUUGAACUCAUCUAGUCAAAGUUUGUAGAGAUUUCUCAAAAAAGGUUCAUGAGGCUUAUAAUCCACACUUAGCCUUCUCAACAAGUAUUUAUUGUUUCUCAGCAUUACGGGACUGACGCUUCCGUCCAUGUACUUCCAAAAGUGAUCUUCUCAUCUUGUGCAAGGAACGGCCGUUUUGUAUGUUUUGGGAACGUUGCACAGUCGGUUCGCUAACUUACAGCGUUAGUGGUUGUCGAGCCCAAAAAACGAAAUGGCGUGACAUUCACCAUUAAGAAAUGAUGAUCUAGUGUAAGACGGUUCCACAAAAGUGACGGUUAGCUAAAUUCAUGUUCCUCUAAUCAUAUGAUUAUUUAUAGAUGUCAUUGGUCACAACCUCAAAUAUACAAUGGACUGAUUUCGUACAAACAACAAGAUUGAUCCAAUGAUUAAGUUAAAAUGUAUGUAUAUGUAAAAUAAAUAAUUAAUAAUAUAUUUAAAAAUAAAUUAUUUUAAAUAAUAAUUAAAAAUAUCAAAACUAUGUUUAUAUUAAAAAAUAAUUAAAAUUAUAUUUUAUAUUAAAUUAUAAAAUAUACGUAAGAAUUGUAUGUUUUAAUUUUUUUUAUUAAAUAAGUAGUUAAAAUCACUAAAAAAUUUAUUUCAUUAUUAUUUACUUUCAAACUUUUAUGUUUGAAUUUUUUAUUGUUGCACUAUUUUAAUUAUGCACCACAAUUUGAAUAAUAUUAUUUUUGUAUUAAUUACAUAAAAUAAAAAAUAUAUUAUUCAUGGAAUAAUAAAUAAAUAUACAAAAUCACGUAUAAUAAUAUUCAAUGAAUAAUAUAUUUAUGAUAAUAAAUUUACAUGUAUUUAAUAUACCAUUAUAUAAAUAUUAAUUUGUAAAAUAUUUAAUUUUUAUAACAAUUAAAUAAUUAAAUUUAUAAUUAUCAUAUGAUAUGUACUUAUAUAACACCUCUAGUGAGAAAAACAAUUUCAUUGCAGGUUAAAUUUUUUAAGAAAAUUUUUUAUGUCCAGUUUGGUGCAAUAAAAUCAAGUGAUAUUAGUUUAAUUCGAUUGUAUUUUUUUUAUUCCUCCAUUAUAGUUUAGUUUAGUUAGAUUUUUUAUUAUAAAUUUUUAUAAUUAUUUUAAUAAAAUAAACUUUAUUUUACUGCUUUUAAAUAUCAUUUGACAAAUUUUCAAAGUUAUUUUCAUAGAUAUUUUUUAAAAUUUUUAAGUAAAUAAAAAAUCAAAUACUUUUAUAUAAUAUUUUUAAAAUAUAUUUAUUCAUUUUCACUAUUUUUAAAUAUAAAAUAUUUAUUUUAUAUUAUAAAAAAUAAAUUUAUUUAUAAAUUAAAUAAAGAAUAGAAUUUGGUUUGGUUUCGGAUAAUUAUGAUUUUUUAAUUUGUAUUCCAUAAACCGUCUAAACACCUUAAUUUGGAUCGAUUUUCAAUUAUUUUAUUUACUCAACCCUACUCACGGGAGGUAAAUCGAUUUUCGAUUUUCAAUUAUAACAGUGAGAUUAGCUCUAAUGAGAUCGAAAACAUAUAUAAUAAUAAGAUUAGAAACUAUUCCACACCAUCUUGAAUUUUGCUGAUGUGACAUACACACGGAUUGCCACAUAUAUGUCACAUAAGCAGUAAUUAUUUUUAAAAUUUUAAAAAAUUAAAAAAUAUAUUUUAAAAAUUUAAAAAAUUAUAAGAAAAUAUUUUUAAAUAUUUUUUAAAUAAUUAAUUGUUAACGUGACAUACAUGUGGUAAUCCACCUAUAUGUCAUGUCAACAAAGUUAACAAACGUUAACUUUUUCACCCAUUUUGGAUGGUUUGACAGAAAAAUGUAAGUUUAAAGACUAAAAGAGAAGGAAAAUAAAUAUAGAGCUAAAAUAAUUCUUUUAUGAAGUUGGAAUACCAAAAAAGUUAUUAUACUUUUAUUUUUCAAAAUAAUGAAAUUUCCAUUAAUAACACUUCAAACAUAAGUGCAUCUGCAUUUGCUUCGUGAUUGUUCUUUCUAUAAAUUCACCAUAAUCAUGUUAAACAAGUAAUUUAGUGAGGUUAAGUAUUGUAACAGUGAGAUUAAAGUUAAUUAUAGAAUAUGUAUUUGAAUUCAAAUGUAAAUAUAUUGAUAAAAUGAGAAUAAAAAAUCAAUAUUAAAGCGGAAUUAGAUGCCCUCAUCAAUGGUUUUCAGCUUGCUCAAUUUCUUAAAGCCGACAAUGUCAUUUUUGAAACAGAUUGUGCUAGCAUUGUCAACUGCUUUAGUUUUGACAAGAAGGACAUAACGAUCCUUGAUCACUGCAUCAAGGAGUUCACAAGAUGCUUGAUUCUUUUGUUUCCGCUAAGGUCAAAUGGGUGAAACGUGGUUGUAACAAAUUAGCUGAUUCUCUUUGUAAUUGGGCUCUUUCUAAGUGUUGUAAUUUGUCUUUUGAGAUGGAUUAUCCUAGCGAUAUCCAUAACAUUGUAAUUUAUUAUGCAACUUAAAUUGAGGUAGUAACCUUUGGGUCCUUUUUUUUAUUAAAAAAAUCACUAUUAAAUAUAUUAAGUUAAAAUGCAGGUAUAUGUAAAAUAAAUAAUUAAGAAUAUAUUUAAAAAUAAAAUAUCUUAAAUAAACAAACCAAAAUCAUCCAACUCACAGUAAACAAUUUUAUGUGUAUUAAAAUAAUUAAAUAGAUAUGAGCACCUGUAAUAUCCCGAAAAUUAUUACUGUAAUACCCCGAAAAUUACUACAGUAAGAAAGUAGGUAUCCUUGAUAUAGUAAAAUAAAGAAAUAAAGUGACAAAAAGGGAAAUUUUGAGUUAUGACAACAUUAGGAAUUAUAUUAUAAUAUAUUAAUUCAAGAAAGGAUUAAAUCGCAAAAGUGAGAAAAGUUUUGUUGAUCAAGAAUAAAUACUCAAAAUUUGAAGGGGUAGAGUGUAAAUAUGAAAAAGCUGAAGGACCAAUAGUGAAAAUAUUUUAAGGGUGGAAUAAUCUAGAAACUAAGGAAAAUGGAUGAAUUAGGACCAAAUUAAAAAGGUGAAGAAUUUUGAGGGACUAAAUCAUAAUUUUACCAAAUUAAGUGAUGACUCAAGGAUGGAAUUUUUAAAGAUUAUAAAGGGCAAAAUGGUCAAUUAGAAGAGAGAGAAAUCUAGAAGGCAAUGAUGAUGUUGGUGAUAUUUUAGAUUAAUUAAUUAAAUUAAUAUUAAUUAAUUAAUAUUUUAAUUUAAUUUUUAAAUGAUAUUUUAUUAUUAUUCUAUUUAGUAUAUAUAUGGAGGGAAAGAUGAAGAACCAACGUGAGAAGAAGGAAGAAAGAAAGAAAGUUUUCUUUUCUUUACAAUUUGGUCCUUCCUCCAAAAAUUUACCAUUUUCACCUAGAAAUCAAAAGAAUUCCCAUAGCUACCAAGAGAGAAAAAUGUUAAGGAGACUAUGGGGAGCUAGAAUAUCAAGUUCGAUUCAAUAAAUAGAAGCUGGAGGAGAGAGAAAAUCAAGUUAAAGAUUAAAAUCAAUAACACAAGGUAAGAACAUCAAGAUUUCAAUAUACUUUUGAGUUUGAUAUUAUUGAAAAAGUAGAAAAUUAAUGUUAAUGUAGAGUUUCAUUAUAUAAGGUUAUAUAUUGUUGUUAUGUUAGUAAAGGGAAAUAAGAGGAAGUGAUGGAAAAUACUGAAGAGAAAGGAAAGGAAGGUGUUAUAAAUUUAGUUAUCAACAUUUUACACUAAAAUAGUUUUGGACAGUAGCAAUAGGUUAACUUUGAAAAUUCACCAUAAAUAUGAAAAAUCAAAUUAGAGGAUGAAAAAAUAUGAAAUUAAAGAUUAUUCAGUCUAGUUUCUCAUAGAAGAAAGGGUGUAAGUAAUGAAAUUUUAAAUCAUGAGAUAUAAUGAAUUUUGUGAGAUAAGGUCAAGAUGAAUUCGGGUUCCCCUGUUUUGACUUGGAAAAUCAUUAAAAAUUGUAUAAAAAUAAUUAUGGGUUAUAAUUUAUAUUUUUAAAAUCCUUAAUGAGUCUAUUUUCAAUAGAAACAAACGGGAACAUCAUCUGAAUUUUUUACAAUGAGAUAAUUAAUUUUGAGUGAAGAGGGGUCGGAACUAUCAAAAAAUGAAAUAGGCGAAACUUUAAAAAAUAAAAUAUACUUAUUGGAUAAACCAAAAAUUCUGAAAAUUUUAUGGUAAGAAGAUAUGUGAGUAUAGUUUUAUAUAAAAUUUACAAAUCUCAAUUUGGAGUUUUGUAGCUUAAUAUAUAAUUUAUUUAGUGACUAUGACUCAGGUGAACAGCUUGUUAUGAGUAAACAAGUAAAUAGUGGUAUUAUGUAUAUAUCAAGGAUGUAGAAUGGAGUGGAGGAGGAGGAAAAAUAUAUGUGAAUAUUUAGAUAAUAUGGGUUUAUUUUAAAAAUAGCUAAUUUACAUGUUUUAGGUUCAGGGACUAAAUUGAAUAAAAGUAAAAUUUUUAGGGUAAUUUUGUAAAAAUGUCAAAAAGUGACCAAAUUGCAUGAAAUAAAUUUUUUUAUUAUUUAAAUUAAUAAAUUGAAUGAAAUAUUAAUUUAGAUCAAGAUUGGGUGGAAAUUCAAGUAAAAUAGAAAAUUAUUAAAAUAUCCCUAAAUUUUGGUAUUUCUGCAAUUUAGCCUGGUAAGUUAGUAUGAACUAUAUUCAGUAUAAUUUUAAUUAAAGUGAACGUUAUUUGGUGAUGAAUAUUAUAUAAAUAUGUGUUUUAUUAUUUGAAUUGAAUUAUUAUUGGUAAUAUGUAUAAUUAUUAGGUCUUGACUUGUUAGGAACAGUAGUUAAAACUCUUGUCAAUACCUGUUUAACACGGAUUCAAACAAUAUUACCUCCAUCCCCACUCUUAAUAUUAUAUAAAAAAAUUAAUAGCAAAUAUAAUUAACAUACCCAUUAAUAUAAAAACCAUUAGUAAUAAGAGUAUAUUAAAGUAGUAAUAGACAGUAACCAUUGUUGUAAUAUAUUAUUGUAGGCACUAAGUUACCUUAAAAGACAAAAAGUAUGGACAUGAUUUAAGUUUGAUUCAAUAAUCAUUAAAUUAUAUUUAAAUUAUUGAUUUAAUAUAUUCAAAUUUAAUAAUAUUUGAUUUUAAUGGUGAAUGACUUUUAUUGAAUUUUUAUUUUAUAUAUUCAACAGAAGUUAAAUUAAAAAAUAAAAUAUUAAAUUUAAGUUAAAACCAAGUAUUCAGACUCACUUAGGGCUAGUUUGGAUGGGUGGUGAGAUUGGAUACUGUAGCGGUGAGAUUAGAAACAAUGGUGGAGUGUGUGUUUGGAUUCAAACGCCGCUGUAGCGGUGAGAUGAGAAUAAGAAAUGACUAUUAAGGACAUCAAAUUAGAAUUGAUAUAUAAUAUAAGUUUUUUAAAUUAUUUUACUUUUUUAAAAUUAUUAAAAUAUGUGAAUUUAUAAAUUUAUUUAAUAAAAUAUUAAAAUGUAUCUUUUAAUAUUCUAUUUAUUUAUAUUUAUUAUCCUAUAAAUUAUUAUAUUUGUAUUUAUUUAAAUAAUAGUUAUAACAUUAAAAUAUUAAAAUGUCUUAUUUUCACACUCAUAUGAAAAAUAAAAUGGUAAAAAUAUUACCCACUGACGUUUCUUUUUGUUUACUGGUGUUUAACACUCUAGUCUAAAAUUUCCUCUCCAGUGCGUUGAAGGAUUUUAACUGGCCAAAUUUGAAUGUUAUCCAAACAGCUAUACGUGGUGCGAUUGCACCAAAAUCAAAGGUAAACGUACCGCAUUGGUAGUAACUGGGCAUCCAAAGGAGCCCUUAAUUACACAAAGUAAGUGGGUAGAAAGUUUAGAAAGACUUGAAUGGAUGGGCGUCAAUCAAAACACCUUGGAUUCCAUGGGAUUUGUCUCCUUUUUCUCUUUUCUUACAUAUCUUUUUCAUUAAUUUCAAUUAUUUGUACGGCUCCACAUUGUGCAGAGCACCCCAAGUGUCCAACUUUGUCUCCGUUGAGAAAUUUGUGUCAAACAGUAAACAUGGAGGGACCAUUUCCCACCAAUCAACAUUACUUUUUAUUUAAUUAUACUACUUGCUGGGUGGAUGGUAAUAUCUAUAAAUAUACUUGGUCUCUGCGUGUAUGGAUCCACAUCUGUGUUCCAAUCAUUCUCAUUUUUACUACUCCUCUUGCAAUAACCCAACACUUCUUUGCUUGAUUUCUGUUUGAACCAGCAAUGGCCGAAGCAAUUGCAUUCGACCUCGCCCUAGAGCUUAUUACUAAGUUGAGCUCUCGUGCUCUCUCUCAAGUUGGAAUGUGGUGGAAUCUCAAACAUGACCUCGACGACCUCAAACGCACUGUUCGUACAAUCAAAGCUGUGCUUCUUGACGCAGAAGAGAAAUCGGUGACCGACAAUCUCGUCAAAGUUUGGCUUGAAGAGCUGAAAGAUGUACUUUAUGAUGCUGACGACUUGCUAGAUGAUUUCUCUACCGAAGCUUUGCGGAAAGAUCUAAUGGGUGGGAACAAGCUGACGAAAGAGGUACGCCUUUUCUUCUCGAGCUCAAACCAGUUUGCUUACGGUCUCAAAAUGGGUCGGAAAAUUAAGACCAUUAAGGCCAGGUUGUUUUCAAUUGCAAGUGAAGCCAAGGUGUUCAACUUGGUAGAGCGUCACCGUCCCAUGGAAACCUCUUUCAUGACUAAAAAGAGGCAGCAAACGCACUCUUUUGUGCCUAAAGAUAAAAUAAUAGGGAGGGACGAUGAUAAAGCAGCUCUUCUAAAACUCGUGUUAGAGUUUGAAAGUGAAGAGACUGUUUACAUCAUUCCAAUUGUGGGGUUUGGAGGGUUAGGGAAGACUGCUUUGGCUCAAUUUGUCUAUAAUGAUGAAAUGGUCAAAAAUCAUUUUGAGUUGAUGAUGUGGGUGUGUGUUUCAGAUGUUUUUGAUGUCAAAAUAAUUGUAGAAAACAUUAUCAAAUCUGCAACAGGCAAAUCACCCGAUCAAAAUCUCGAAAUGGACCAACUGCAAAAACAACUUCGGGAAAAAUUUGGUGGGAAAAAAUAUUUGCUUGUUUUGGAUGACAUUUGGAAUGAAAAGUGGGAAAAAUGGGUUAGUUUAAAAGAGUUAUUAGUAGGUGGGGCUAAAGGAAGUAGGAUAAUAGUAACUACUCGCUCUUUGGGAGUAGCAAAGAUUACUAGUAAAUGUCAGCCUUAUGUUCUGAAAGGCUUGCCUGAUAAUGAUGCUUGGUCUUUGUUCAAAGAGAUAGCAUUUGAACAAAGAUCGGCAGACUCAACAGAUUCAGGCUUUGUGGAAAUGGGAAAGCUGAUUUUGGAAAGGUGUUGUGGAGUUCCCUUAGUCAUAAGGACGAUAGCUGGUACGUUAUCUUUCAAAGAAACUAAAAGUGAGUGGCUUUCUUUUAAAGAUAACGAACUUGCUAGAAUAUCUCAGAACGAAGGUGAGAUAUUACCUACACUUAAGUUGAGUUAUGAUCAUCUCUCAUCCCAUUUGAAGCAUUGUUUUGCUUAUUGUCGACUAUAUCCAAAAGAUCAUGAAAUUGAUGUACAAGAACUUGUUCAAUUUUGGAUUGCACAAGGUUUUGUAAAGCAAUUGAAUCCAAGUCAAUCUCUUGUGGAGAUCGGAUUUGGAUAUUUUAAAGAUUUAGUUGAAAGAAGUUUCUUUCAAGAGGUAGAAGAAUAUGGAUUUGAGGAUAUGACAUGUAAAAUGCAUGAUUUAAUGCAUGAUCUAGCUGAAUCAGUAGCAGGGAUGGAGAGUAGUAUUGUAGAUUCAAAUAAAAUUGCAAGUGAUGUUGGUGAAAAAUGUCGCCACAUAUCAAUUAAACCUUCAUUAAUUCCUUUGUUUAAGGGAAAGAAGUUGCGAACCUUGUUACAUUUUCAAUACGAAUUAAGUCAAGAUUUCAGCUAUGAAACUUGGGAUUUGAUAAUUGCAAAUUGCAGAUGCUUGCGUGUAUUGAAAUUGAAUUCUAUAGGUAUUCAUAAGAUUUCACCCUCCAUUUGUAAGUUGAAACAUUUGAGGUACCUUGAUCUUACUUAUAAUCCCGGACUUAAGAUUCUCCCAGAGAGUAUUUGCAAGAUUCAGAAUUUGCUAGCGCUGGAACUUGACAGCUGUCAUAUUCUUAAAGAAUUGCCAAAGAAGAUUGAAAAAUUGGUGAAUCUUACCCAUCUUUCUUGUUCUUUUUGUUGGGAAUUAACUCAUAUGCCACGUGGAAUAGGGAAGCUGACUUCACUUGAGACGUUAAGCACGUUUGUAGUGGAUAAAGAUGGGUCCCAUGGCGGUGCAGAUCUAAGUGAAUUGAGACUGCUUAACAACUUAAGGGGAGAGUUAAGAAUAGCAAAUUUGGGAUUCGUAAAAAAUGCAAAAGAGAAGUUUAAGGCUGCUAAUUUGAAAGAGAAGCAACAUUUGAGAUCGUUACAUUUACAAUGGAAUGCUGAUGAAGAUGAUGAUGAGAAGUCACUUGAAGACCUCCAGCCCCAUCCUAAUCUCAAGGAGUUCUAUAUUGCAGAAUGGAGGGGUGAUGCCAAGUCUCCAAGUUGGCUUUCUUUUCUAACAAAUCUCGUUUAUAUGACAAUAAUUCAGGGUAAUUUCAAACAAAUCCCGUCCUUUGUGCAAUUUCCUUGUCUUAAAGGGCUGACCAUAGGUGAUUGUACUAAGCUGGAGUACAUGGAUGAUAAUAGCCCAAAAGGAAGUCAAGGAGAACCACAAUCAUUCUUCCCAUCACUGAAGCAUCUUUCGCUCUUUAACUGUCCGAAUAUGAAGAGUUGGUGGAGGACGACAAAACCAAUCGAUGAUGAUUCCAACGAGGACGACACAACAGUUAUGGGAACAUCAACCAUGGGAUUUCCUUGUCUUUCCUCUUUAUUAAUUAAAAAUUGCCCUUUGACAUCAAUGCCGCUGUAUCCAUCACUCGAUGAAGAUCUAAUGUUGUCGAAUACCAGUUCAAGGCCGUUAAAGCAGACUAUCAAGAUGAACAUCAAUGCUAAGGCCCCAUUAACUUCAACCUCUUCUCUUCCACUCUCCAAAUUGAAAUCUUUCGAUGUACGCAAGAUUGAGGGGUUGGACACUCACACACUAGAUGAGUGCCUGCAACAUCUCACCAGCCUCAAAAGAUUAACAAUAAGAGAUUGCAAGGAGGCUGAUUUAGAGGGCAUGCAAUGGGAACCCCUUAAGAAUCUCUCUCAUUUGGAGAUUGAUAAUAUUCCAAUGCUGGUGUCUCUCCCCAUUGGGCUUCAACAUCUUGUUCAAUUGAAAAGAUUAAAAAUUCAUAACUGCAAUGGAUUGAGGUCACUGUUUCCUGUGUUCCAACAUCUCACUUUCCUUGAAGAGUUUGAAGUAGAGGACUGCAAGGAGCUGGAGUUAUCUGGAGCUGGCAUCCAAAUAUUCCAAGAUCAUACAAGCUUACACUCUCUACGGCUGCAAAAUAUUCCAAAGUGUCGGCAUCUUCCGGAUUGGCUUCAACACCUAACAAAUCUGCAACGGCUUUAUCUCGUAAAUUUGCCCAAUUUAACAUCUCUUCUGGACGAGAUGCGUUGCCUAACCAGUUUGGAGUAUUUACACAUACGAGAAAUUCCUCAGUUGGAGGAAAGAUGUCGGAAGGACAUUGGCGCUGAUUGGCAAAAGAUUGCUCACAUCCCCAACAUUGUGUUGUAUCAGGUUGGUCCGUCUUUGUUAUUUAUUUAUUUUGAUGACCUUAUCUGUUUUUGAAGAAAAAUAAGUGGUAUAUUGAAUCUCCAAGUCAGGGGUCUGAUGCCAUUUUUCAUUGAAGUUGGAUACUGUUAAUUUCCUUGUUAAAAUCCCUUGUUUUAAUCCUAC
Molecule: long non-coding RNA, 14303 nt
Filed under: Gossypium barbadense (sea-island cotton)
Lineage: Eukaryota; Viridiplantae; Streptophyta; Magnoliopsida; Malvales; Malvaceae
Description: long non-coding RNA (GBAR_LNC023155)
Source: RNAcentral